AUGACCCAGCACGCUGUACGGUGCAUUUUCCUUUCCACUUACCAUGGUGCUUUUAGCACCAUUAUGGCUUCUUUCCAACAGUCAUUACGCUUUCUGGGCUUUUUCUAAGAGGACAGGGAUUUGUAUUUAUUCAUCUUAUUUACCCCACAGCUUCUAGAACACUGCCUUGCACACAGUGGACAAUGACGAGCUGCUGAAUAAGUGUGCGAACCGAGGAGAAAUGCAUGUGUUGCUUACAAUGUUUCCUCUGAAUGCUGCCAACAAUGAGAAACAAGUAAUAGUUUCUAUCAGUGCUUUUCAGCCCAAAUCUUGCGGACCCCACAUAUGUUCAAAAGACUGCAUUUCCAAGGAGGGUGGCAGGAGCCGGGCUUCCAAUGUUUGGAAUCAACACUGCCAUUAAAUUUACUUCCAAGAGGUCCAAAUGAACACAAGAACGGAUGAAACGUAACCAAACAGCACCUCGGCGGACGAGCUACAUGGCGCAUGGGGUGGUUGUGUGGUAGCUACGCCAACAAGGGACAGCAGCUACUCCCGUCCUUCUUCCGCUGCUGCCUUCUCGAAAAUAAACUGUCCUGGCAGAAGAUGGGCCCCGAAGCUAAUGCUCUCCCUUAGGAAAUGUGCUCUGGCCACUUAGAAUCCCUGAGGUGAAAAGAACUUCUUCCAACCCCUCUGCCCUGAGGUUCAAGGACUGGAAUUGAGGGCUUCAGUUUCCGGGUAAGCCAUGCUCCAAAUUGCAAGGCACACUGUUCAUGUGAGCUAAUGCUUUUAAAUGAUCAUUAUCGGCGGCUGGUAGCAAUUAUUGACUCCGAGUACAUGGACCACAUAGCUGGGAAAUUACUUAUGCGCUGUCAAAGAUUUUCCUAUCCAUAGGUGAAAACUGUUUCAUCCUGAUUAACUCUUUAGUCUCCCACUUUCUUCCUUCAGCCUUAGCAUCCCUAUUCCAUAUGCUAGAUUUGUAAUUUCUUUUCAAAUCUUUUCUUCUUUUACGUACAAUUCAUCUAAAUUUGGCUUGCUUUUCAGUUAAAGUAUCCUGAUAGCUUGAAAAGCCAUGAAAAAUUUGCAGAUACUUUUCAUUGUAGCUUAAAACAUUAAAAUGAUGGCAUUAAAAGCUCAGGGUAGG
RNAcentral lists this long non-coding RNA (1120 nucleotides) under Chinchilla lanigera (long-tailed chinchilla). Its description in RNAcentral is "lncRNA (ENSCLAG00000025546.1)". Lineage: Eukaryota; Metazoa; Chordata; Mammalia; Rodentia; Chinchillidae. The record is from RNAcentral.